RNAcentral lists this ribosomal RNA (462 nucleotides) under uncultured bacterium. Its description in RNAcentral is "partial 16S ribosomal RNA". It matches the Rfam family "Bacterial small subunit ribosomal RNA", at positions 28 to 507 of the family's 1533-position model. The record is from RNAcentral.
GACGAACGCUGGCGGCGUGCUUAACACAUGCAAGUCGAACGGAAAGGCCCUUCUUGGUACUCGAGUGGCGAACGGGUGCGUAACACGUGGGUGAUCUGCCCUGCACUUUGGGAUAAGCCUGGGAAACUGGGUCUAAUACCGAAUAGGACCACGCGCUUCAUGGUGUGGGGUGGAAAGCUUUUGCGGUGUGGGAUGGGCCCGCGGCCUAUCAGCUUGUUGGUGGGGUAAUGGCGUACCAAGGCGACGACGGGUAGCCGGCCUGAGAGGGUGACCGGCCACACUGGGACUGAGAUACGGCCCAGACUCCUACGGGAGGCAGCAGUGGGGAAUAUUGCACAAUGGGCGCAAGCCUGAUGCAGCGACGCCGCGUGAGGGAUGACGGCCUUCGGGUUGUAAACCUCUUUCAAUAGGGACGAAGCGCAAGUGACGGUACCUAUAGAAGAAGCACCGGCCAACUACGUG